RNAcentral lists this transfer RNA (136 nucleotides) under Daphnia pulex (common water flea). It matches the Rfam family "tRNA". From Rfam's summary of the family: Transfer RNA (tRNA) molecules are approximately 80 nucleotides in length. Lineage: Eukaryota; Metazoa; Arthropoda; Branchiopoda; Diplostraca; Daphniidae. The record is from Rfam by way of RNAcentral.
GUCAAGAUGGCCGAGUGGUUAAGGCGCCAGACUUAAGAUUCUAAUUCAAAUAAUAGAUAAGUAGGUUAUUUUGUGAUAUCCGUUACUUGGCAUUCUGGUCUUCGAAGAAGACGUGGGUUCGAACCCCACUUUGACA